ACUCUGAUCAUUCUGACAUAAGGAUACCUAUGCUAAGGACGGCUGUGUAGUGAAGAGAUAUGCAACAUAAGCCUAUUAAGACACUUGAAGAAUUCUGUCAUAUAAAACUCUCCAGAUCAAAUUAUCUAUUAUGGAAAUCUAUACUGCCAGAAUUAGACUUGUCUCAAAGUUUGUAUUCUGCCUUAGGAAGGAGCCUUUAUAUAAUGAAUUGCAGAAAACUACAUUUCUUCAGCACAGUGUUUUCAGCAGAAUCCUGGAAAACCCAAAACAAAUGAAAUUUGUAAAAGGAAUAUCAGCAAGUAACAAUAGAACAAAGUUAGCAGAACAAAACUCAGGUGCCAUUUUGCUAUUGCAAAUGACUCAUUGUGACACGUUUGUCUGUGGUAUCAGUUUCAGUCUUAUCAGUGACUCAAACCAAAUGUGAUGGGUGCACAUUUCCAUAUUAUGAUUUUGUCAUGCUUCAGGGAGACACCUUAGAAUAAUUAUUGCAAUGAAUGUUUCUGAUAGAACAAAUUUGCAAAGCAGCAAGUAAAGAGCACUUUCCAGUUUAUAAUAUACCUUUUUCUUAAACCAUUCUUUGUAGUGCCUCACUAUAGGCAAGCUAAAAAAU
Molecule: long non-coding RNA, 610 nt
Filed under: Parus major (Great Tit)
Lineage: Eukaryota; Metazoa; Chordata; Aves; Passeriformes; Paridae
Description: lncRNA (ENSPMJG00000000548.1)
Source: RNAcentral